Aphis gossypii (cotton aphid) is the source of this 1084-nucleotide long non-coding RNA. RefSeq lists it as uncharacterized. The record is from RefSeq and is a predicted model, not a curated record. Lineage: Eukaryota; Metazoa; Arthropoda; Insecta; Hemiptera; Aphididae. The transcript has 3 exons.
UUAUCUCGCGGCAGACGCGCGCGCGAAGAAAGAUAAAAACGGUGGCGGCGUUGGUGGAGGCGGCGAUGGUGACGGUUACAACGACGACGACGACGACGACGACGAUGAUGGCUCCGCGAUGAGUACGAGUUCAGUUCAGCUACACCUACCCGUCGACGCACACGAGUUCUGGCCAUCGACCGUUGCGGGAUUUAAUUUUAUAUUUUCAAAAUAUUUUCUUCCCGCCAAUAUCGACAAGACGAUCUUAGCAUCGUUUUCAACAUACUUUCGUCUAUUAUAAAUUAUUAAGAUUACAAUAUUAUUACAGUUCUAUAUAGGUACCUAUACACGAUGUGCGGCAGUAUAAGAAAUAGCGUGUCGUUGUGCUCGAAAAUCGAUCGAACAAAUAACCACCGAAGCUGUCAACCUGGAUUAGACGGUUCCAAUAGCCGACCUAGACCUAUAACAGCUGUACAAAACUGAAGGAACAUGGCUUUUAAAAAUCAAAUAGACCUGCACAAUAUCCAAUACGUGGAUUUUCACCACACCGGAACAAAAAUGAAGACUUCGACCGACAUUACCAUCAACAGGCCGAAACCAUUGUUUCCAAAACCUAGUUGCUAAAUAAUCAUGAUUUAUUAUAUUAAUAAAUCUAAUGUAUAUAAUUAAAUAUAAGUACUUUUCUUCCCUUGGUAGUUCGAAAUGGAAGUUUCAAGAACAACCCCUACUACGUUUCAGUUAGGCAAACAAACUAACUUUUUGUAUUUUUUACUCGGUACCUGAAAUAAGUUUGCCUUUCGUACGGGGUUGAUUGAAAUCGUACUUACAUUGUGCUACUAUUACUAUCUUUUAUUACAUUUUGUCUGUAAUUAUUUUUAUAUUUAUUUAAAUAUAUUUUCAUACAUGCAUAUAUAUCAUUGAUGUAUAACAAAUAUAAUAAUAUAAUAAUCAUAAUUAUAUAUUAAACAUAUUACAUUGUAAAUCAAUAUAAAAUAUAUUUAAUACAAACUAUGUUUAAAAAUAUAUAUAUUAUUAUGCUUAAUUGAUCUAUACCUACAUAUGUAUUUAGAAUGAAAUUUUCUAAUAAACCUCAUGUAUGUCACAA